CCUACGGGAGGCAGCAGUGGGGAAUAUUGCACAAUGGGGGAAACCCUGAUGCAGCGACGCCGCGUGAGUGAAGAAGUAUUUCGUUAUGUAAAGCUCUAUCUGCAGUGAAGUAACUGACGGUACCUGAGUAAUAAUCCCCGGCUAACUACGUGCCAGCAGCCGCGGUAAUCCGUAGGGGGCCAGCGUUAUCCGGAUUUACUGGGUGUAAAGGGAGCGUAGACGGCUGUGCAAGUCUGGAGUGAAAGGCCAGGGCUCAACCCUCGGACUGCUUGUGAAACUGUACGGCUAGAGUGCAGGAGAGGUAAGCGGAAUUCCUAGUGUAGCGGUGAAAUGCGUAGAUAUUAGGAGGAACACCAGUGGCGAAGGCGGCUUACUGGACUGUAACUGACGUUGAGGCUCGAAAGCGUGGGGAGCAAACAGGAUUAGAUACCCGAGUAGUC
This 440-nucleotide ribosomal RNA is filed under the name uncultured bacterium. RNAcentral's name for it is "partial 16S ribosomal RNA". It matches the Rfam family "Bacterial small subunit ribosomal RNA", at positions 338 to 795 of the family's 1533-position model. The record is from RNAcentral.